RNAcentral lists this ribosomal RNA (407 nucleotides) under uncultured bacterium. RNAcentral's name for it is "bacterial SSU rRNA". It matches the Rfam family "Bacterial small subunit ribosomal RNA", at positions 355 to 776 of the family's 1533-position model. The record is from RNAcentral.
UGGGGAAUUUUCCGCAAUGGACGAAAGUCUGACGGAGCAACGCCGCGUGAGUGAUGAAGGCCUUCGGGUUGUAAAACUCUGUCUUAUGGGAAGAAGAAAGUGACGGUACCAUAGGAGGAAGCCACGGCUAACUACGUGCCAGCAGCCGCGGUAAUACGUAGGUGGCGAGCGUUGUCCGGAAUCACUGGGCGUAAAGGGCGCGUAGGCGGUUAAUUAAGUCAGGUGUGAAAACUUUGGGCUCAACCCAGAGACUGCACCUGAUACUGGAUAACUUGAGUGCAGGAGAGGACAGUGGAAUUCCUAGUGUAGCGGUGAAAUGCGUAGAUAUUAGGAGGAACACCAGUGGCGAAGGCGGCUGUCUGGACUGUAACUGACGCUGAGGCGCGAAAGCGUGGGGAGCGAACAGG